Molecule: transfer RNA, 83 nt
Filed under: Candidatus Cloacimonadota bacterium
Lineage: Bacteria; Pseudomonadati; Candidatus Cloacimonadota
Also listed under: 1 other name
Description: tRNA-Ser
Rfam family: tRNA
About the family: Transfer RNA (tRNA) molecules are approximately 80 nucleotides in length. Their secondary structure includes four short double-helical elements and three loops (D, anti-codon, and T loops). Further hydrogen bonds mediate the characteristic L-shaped molecular structure. tRNAs have two regions of fundamental functional importance: the anti-codon, which is responsible for specific mRNA codon recognition, and the 3' end, to which the tRNAs corresponding amino acid is attached (by aminoacyl-tRNA synthetases). tRNAs cope with the degeneracy of the genetic code in two manners: having more than one tRNA (with a specific anti-codon) for a particular amino acid; and 'wobble' base-pairing, i.e. permitting non-standard base-pairing at the 3rd anti-codon position.
Source: RNAcentral
GGAGAGGUUGGAGAAUUGGUACUCCGCUCGCCUGGAACGCGGGUACGCCUUUGGCUAUGCAGGUUCGAGUCCUGUCCUCUCCG